This is a long non-coding RNA of Cyprinus carpio carpio, 1237 nucleotides long. Lineage: Eukaryota; Metazoa; Chordata; Actinopteri; Cypriniformes; Cyprinidae. The record is from Ensembl.
UGGGACGACCCAUUAUUUUCUCAGAAAAACAACAAAAUUGACUCAAGAUACUUAUGCACAUGAUAAAGGAUGUCUUGAAUGUCCCAAAAUAUUUCGACAAAAAUCGAAGUUACAGACUUUUGCCUUUGCACGGCAGAUCUGUACCCACCAGGCUCCCAAAGAGAGGAAAGUGGAGGCAACAGAAGUCUUAUCAAACCUUUUUGCCCCAGGGAGCCAGGUACCCACAAAAAGCAUCCAUGUCCAUAAGGUUCCACCAGGGAGCACCUGUAUCUGUUGGGUACCCAAAGAGAAGAAAGUGGAGACAGCAAAACCCUCAAGCUUCUUUCCCAGUAGGAGCACGGUUUCUACAAGGAACAUCCCAUGCCUGCCUGUUCCCGACAGGGAAGAAAGUGGAGGCAGCUGAAGUCUCGGAUCUCUGUCCCACGGCAGUACCUCUACCCGCCAGGGCCCCACAGGGAGGAGCCAUGUCUGCCAGGCUGGAAUUAGAGCCUAGAGCCUCUCUAAAUUUACCGGUUACACAAAAGAGGCCAUUUACCUGGAGCACAGAAGCACUGAUUACCUCUAUGAAACACCUUUUUCCACAAGAAGCACCCAUGCUCACCAGGUCCCCACAAAGAUCAACCCUGCCCAUCGGGACCCCACAGGGAGCACCAGAGAACACCUUUUCCAACAUGGAGCACCCCAUACUGCCUUGUCCCUAGAGGUAGCGCCCAAGCCUGUCAUGUUCCCACAAGGAUCAGCUGUGCCUACUUCUUUGCCACAGGCAACUCGCAAGUAGUUCACUCAAAAAGAGGCCAUAUCCAUGGAGCACAGGACAAUGUUGAUGCUGAUCAGCCACCUCCAUGUAAAAAGCGGUGCAUGCAAAUCAAAUGAGGAACAAAAGUUCACCCACAUUUUCUGAAUACCCUUACAAAAAAUAAGUUUAUUAAAGUGUGCUAUUACUAUACUUCUUUUAAACUAAGGGAAAGUAUGCUUUUAUUUUACUUUUUAUGUACUUCUCAGAAGUAGGCUUUAUGUACUCUUCAGAAAUAUACUUAAAAUGACAUUUAAGUAUACUUGACUUUUACUUACAAAAAGUCUAAAUAUAUUUGAGCUAUACUUGUGCUCCUAGAAUCAGUGUUUUCAUUGUUAUAUGGUAGAGGGCGCUAGUACACAUCUUCUGUACAGAAUUUCCAAAAAAACACAAGUGAAGAAGAAAAAGAAACACCAGAUACUAACACAUGUAAUCUAACUCGAU